RNAcentral lists this ribosomal RNA (494 nucleotides) under uncultured bacterium. Its description in RNAcentral is "partial 16S ribosomal RNA". It matches the Rfam family "Bacterial small subunit ribosomal RNA", at positions 38 to 507 of the family's 1533-position model. The record is from RNAcentral.
GGGGGGGGGGGGGGGGGGGGGGGGGGGGGGGGGGGGGGGCGGGGGGGCGCCUGCCGGUGGGGUGGGUGGGGGUGGGUGGCGAACGGGUGAGUAACACGUGAGUAACCUGCCCCCUUCUGCUGGAUAACCGCAUGAAAGUGUGGCUAAUACGGGAUAGUCGGGGGCUGUCGCAUGAUGGGUCUGGGAAAGAUAUUGUUUCGGUGGGGGCUGGGCUCGCGGCCUAUCAGCUUGUUGGUGGGGUGAUGGCCUACCAAGGCGGUGACGGGUAGCCGGCCUGAGAGGGUGGACGGUCACACUGGGACUGAGACACGGCCCAGACUCCUACGGGAGGCAGCAGUGGGGAAUAUUGCACAAUGGGCGCAAGCCUGAUGCAGCGACGCCGCGUGAGGGAUGGAGGCCUUCGGGUUGUGAACCUCUUUCGCCAGUGAAGCAGGCCUGCCUCGUUUGUGGGUGGGUUGACGGUAGCUGGAGAAGAAGCGCCGGCUAACUACGUG